AUUGAACGCUGGCGGCAGGCCUAACACAUGCAAGUCGAGCGGAUGAGAGGAGCUUGCUCUUUGAUUCAGCGGCGGACGGGUGAGUAAUGCCUAGGAAUCUGCCUGGUAGUGGGGGACAACGUUUCGAAAGGAACGCUAAUACCGCAUACGUCCUACGGGAGAAAGUGGGGGAUCUUCGGACCUCACGCUAUCAGAUGAGCCUAGGUCGGAUUAGCUAGUUGGUGAGGUAACGGCUCACCAAGGCGACGAUCCGUAACUGGUCUGAGAGGAUGAUCAGUCACACUGGAACUGAGACACGGUCCAGACUCCUACGGGAGGCAGCAGUGGGGAAUAUUGGACAAUGGGCGCAAGCCUGAUCCAGCCAUGCCGCGUGUGUGAAGAAGGUCUUCGGAUUGUAAAGCACUUUAAGUUGGGAGGAAGGGCAGUAACUUAAUACGUUGCUGUUUUGACGUUACCGACAGAAUAAGCACCGGCUAACUCUGUGCCAGCCGCCGCGGUAA
This 500-nucleotide ribosomal RNA is filed under the name uncultured bacterium. RNAcentral describes it as "partial 16S ribosomal RNA". It matches the Rfam family "Bacterial small subunit ribosomal RNA", at positions 30 to 523 of the family's 1533-position model. The record is from RNAcentral.